GUAGGGAAUAUUGGACAAUGGGGGCAACCCUGAUCCAGCGACGCCGCGUGAGUGACGAAGGCCUUCGGGUCGUAAAGCUCUGUUGCAAGGGAAAAACAAAAUGAUGGUACCUUGCUAGAAAGGAUCGGCUAACUUCGUGCCAGCAGCCGCGGUAAGACGAGGGAUCCUAGCGUUGUUCGGAAUUAUUGGGCGUAAAGCGGGUGUAGGUGGCUUUGUAAGUCAGGUGUGAAAGCCUGGGGCUUAACCCCAGAAGUGCAUUUGAUACUGCGAAGCGUGAGUGCUGGAGAGUCUACUAGAAUUCUUGGUGUAGUGGUGAAAUACGUAGAUAUCAAGAGGAAUACCGGAGGCGAAGGCGGGUAGCUGGCCAGACACUGACACUCAGACCCGAAAGCGUGGGGAUCAAACAGGAUUAGAUACCCCUGUAGUCC
Molecule: ribosomal RNA, 428 nt
Filed under: uncultured bacterium
Lineage: Bacteria
Description: partial 16S ribosomal RNA
Rfam family: Bacterial small subunit ribosomal RNA
Source: RNAcentral